This 332-nucleotide ribosomal RNA is filed under the name uncultured Actinomycetes bacterium. RNAcentral describes it as "bacterial SSU rRNA". It matches the Rfam family "Bacterial small subunit ribosomal RNA", at positions 28 to 351 of the family's 1533-position model. Lineage: Bacteria; Bacillati; Actinomycetota; Actinomycetes. The record is from RNAcentral.
GACGAACGCUGGCGGCGUGCCUAACACAUGCAAGUCGAACGAGGUUGAUCUGGUGGCAACACCAGUGACUACCUAGUGGCGAACGGGUGAGUAACACGUGAGGAACCUGCCCCGAAGACCGGGAUAACCCUCCGAAAGGAGAGCUAAUACCGGAUACCCCCAUUGGAUCGCAUGAUCCGAUGAGGAAAUGGAUUCCGCUUCGGGAGGGGCCUCGCGGCCUAUCAGCUAGUUGGUGGGGUAACGGCCCACCAAGGCAUCGACGGGUAGCUGGUCUGAGAGGACGAUCAGCCACACUGGGACUGAGACACGGCCCAGACUCCUACGGGUGGCAG